GUGUGUUUUUUUUUUAUAACGAACUUUUCGACAUGAUUUGUCAUAGUUCUUUCACCUCUGUCUUAUCUCUGUACCAGAUCAUCAGGCGGCCUGAUUUUCAUCAGUCACAAUAGAUCUGUCCUAUAUUGGGACAGCGGAUACAGGGUCUAGUCGUGUACCCGCAUUCAGUGCAGUAGUGCUCUGCCACACCAGGGAACAAGUACAAGAUUAUCUCUACCGCGAUGAUUAAAGGCUUAAACUGUGAAGAUAUGUAGGACCUUAUGGAGACUUUCCAAGCAAUUUUAUUUUAGUGAAUGAAAGUGAACAUCUAGCUGACAGCAAAUGACGGUGGUUUCAUUUCUUGUGCUUUUGGCGUAACUCGGAAUACAUCCCUGUGUUCUCUCAGACAAGAGAUGUUCGCUUGCAAUGGGGAACACAGUUUUUCAGGAAUGCACGUACAACUGCAGAAACGAAAUUGAUCAAAGUUUUCGCCUAGAAUGAGACGUGAAAAAGAGCUGUGAAUUGUGCUACUGUCAGCAGAAAUCUUGGCUCUCUUGCUACAGAAGUAAGAGCUUUGCUAGAAAAUGUUUACAGAUGGAGAGCUUUCAAGCAAAAUGUGUAUCCUGACCUACAAAGUUUAGUUUGAGUAAAAUCCUUAGGUCUCUCUCUGGGCUGUGCUCGCCGACCCCCCCCCCCCCCCUUUUUUUUUUUAAUCAAAUGCUCACAAAUAGAGGGAGAGAGUAAAGUUGUCAAAAUCGAAAUUGUCAAGACUUUAGAUUAUAAAGGUAGGUUCUGUAAGUCAGCAGUGAAUGAUUUCACUCUAUAGCAUAUCCUUAUCUUGCAAAUAUAAAGUAUAAUAAUGAAAUAUCGUAUUGGAAAUUUGUGAAAAUGUCACUUUCAUAUUACAAAUCUGUAUAUACAAAAUUUCUCAAAAAUUUUUUAAACUUUAGCAAUAGCGGUAGUGGAGCCAUAUUUGUAAUUGGAUCGUCUGGUUGACAGUAUCAUUGCUUAGUUAUCUACUUCCAGCGAGUCAAACUUAAGAGAAUAUUGUUGCCAUAGUUAUCAUUAGUUGAAGUAUACAGGUAUUUUUUCAAAUAAAACUUCUAUUUCAGCAUUAUAAUUAAUUUAACGUCGUUAAUUGGCUUCUAGAACCGAUUGCGUGGGUGCGUGACCAUGGAAUUCAGCGAAGGUAAACCUAGCCAAGUCUACCAUUCUUUGUAAAGAAAAUGGAUUAGCAGAUUAAAAGAAAACGUACCCUCAGUGAUGAACAUUUAUAGGGAUGACUAAUGCAAACCUAAUACCCGUUACGCCACCAGUAUUUGUUGUAUUAAUCACCAGAAUUUUCACCUAAGAUACUCAGAUUUACUAUUUUUGGUAGGCAAACGACCCUCUCUUUUAUAUGGAUAUUGUUAAUGUACAAACUUGCAACGGUCAAAUUGAUUUGUCUAUACAGGGCAAGAACUGCAUAUAGCGUACGCAACAUGCAUGAUUAUUACCAAAGGUCUGAGUCGUUUUAUUAAAAAAAAUUUUUGGCAAUGUAAAGGGGAAGUGAUUCAGGUAGGCUACGAUGUAGGUGGGCAGGUGUCUCGAAAGGAGCCAUGUCAUAAAUAUGCCACUCGUUUACUGAAUGAAUUAUAUAUAUACAGGUACAGGGAUGACUAAUACCCUUGGGAAGUACUAGUACAGACAGAUAUGCACACAGGUAGAUAAAGAGAAGGAGCGCGUAUGCAAGCACUGAAGGCUACAUGUUAUAAGAAAAGGUGAUUCAAGUAAUGUAAUAUAGAAAUAUGUCCCCCUACAAGGUAUAAUAUAGGAUGCGUCAUGUGCGAACCAAUACUUUCUCUAUCCCAAUCAAUGACCUUGGCCAUGGCAUUCCCCAGCGCCACUUUCGAUAGAGUACAGGUAAUUUGGAAGAAUGCCAGAGAAUCCGAGAGGAAGAAAUGGUGAUAGAGGGAGUGAGAUUAUAUCUCUCUGUGUAUAAAACCAGGAAGCUGAAUGCUGCACCGUCUGGAAAAUUGAAAAAAAGGGCGACAGAUCGUAAAAGGGGGCCUUAAAAAAAAAAAAUAAAUAAAAAUAAAAAUUUGGUAAAGAAUCUUCUUACAUUAAUUGCAGUUUUCCUUGGAAAUACUGCAUGCACAUAUUGCACCUUGAUGACAAAAAUCUUAUGGAUCACAGAAUUGCUUUUUUCCUUCCUAAUUAAUGAUGAGGCAUCCUUUCCAAUAUAUUUUGUCUCAUUGUCAGUUCGAAGAGUUCAUGUCCAGUUCAUUUAAAAAGGCUAGGUACAGUUUUUCUUCAGUUUUUCAUAAAGCUGACAUGAUUUUCCAAAAUCUAGAUGCAAAAUAUAUGUAGUAUUUCACAGGAGAGCGGCAGUUACCAUGAGGAGAUGUCUAUCCCAGAAAUAAAUAGAUUUUUCAAUAAAAAAAAGAGGAGAGAGAGCACCCUUUACACGCAUCUGUCACCAUCCUUCAGUUUUCCAGACGUUGCUGUAUUUAACUUUUAAUAGUGUCAUCUCAGUCUCUCCGCCACAAUUUCUUCCCAGCAAGAUUAUGACAUCAUAAAUAGGUCAAAAUAGGUGUUUGGCACUUCCUCGUAAAGUAAUAUGGCGAGCAUUUACCGCCACUAUUCGCAGCCAUCCAAUUAAUGGCAGAUUUAAGGGGGAAAGAUUUGCCAGGCGGGAGAAAAUAUGUUUCUCUCUCUCUCUCUCUCUCUCUCUCUCUCUCUCUCUCUCUCUCUCUCUCUCUCUCUCUCUCUCUCUCUUUGAUUUUAUUCGGUUAUAAUACGGAAACAUUGCAAGAACAACAACAAUCAAUUAACCCCGUUGGGGGCUGGGGGUGGGGGAAGGUAGUGCCGUCAGUACUCCUCACGCGAUGCAACUCCUUUCAUUCCUUUUUACUGUACCUUUUUUCACGUUCUCCUCCUUCCAUCAUACUUUCCACCCUCUCUUAACAAUUGAUACAUAGUGCAACUGCUUUGAUGUUUUCCUCCUGUUACACCUUUCAGAUGUUUUACAGUCAAUCUCCAUUUCAGCGCUGAUUGACCUCACAGGUCCCAGUGCUCUGAAUGACCUCAUAGGUCCCAAUCUCUGAAAGACCUCAUAGGUCCCAGUGCUCUGAAUUACCUCAUAGGUCCCAGUGCUCUGAAUGACCUCAUAGUAGGUCCCAGUGCUUGGCCUUUGGCCUAAGUUGUAUAUUCAAUCGAUCAGUUAAAACCAACGAAGGCUUUUCUUAUGCAUCUUGCAACGUAGCAAGGGAGAAGAGGAAUAAGAGCGAAAACAUAAACGCAAUAAGAAACUGAGGGGUAGACUGAGAGCGGCAAAUGUUAGGUUAUAAUUAAUGGCCUUUUUUCCGGUAGUGAAAAAAUUUCGCUCGUUUACGUCAUAUCCUCACGAUAGUGAAGAAGAAUUUAAUGAGAGGUAAGCUCGUGGAUUCCACACGCCAAGUGGCGUUGAAAGAGGCAGAUGUCUCUGCUGUGGAAAGUCUCAUAUCCCAAGGGACUUUUCUCAAUUAAUUGGACCGUGAAUACGAAGGCUCACCUUUCCGUUUGAUUUAGGGAAUAAAGGUGUCCCUUUCGCUUCGAAGCGUUUAAAUUGCUCAGUCGGUUACGAAUUGGUGUGCAGAAUUUUUGUUGUUUGAGAUUAAGCUGGCCUAAUGCCAGCACGGGCUCUUGCUCACAGAGCAGCCCGUAGAUGGAAUUUUUGUUUACUUUUGUCAGAGAGCUUUGUUUUUGUUGUUGUGAUAUGAAUAAAUUAGGCUUAAACACUCUCCUACAUUGUCCAUCUCUAAUCGACUAAUGAUAUUUUAUAUUAAGAAGUCUUGUCUUGAUAUAGAAACUUUUGUACGCAUUGUUAAGAUGGGCCAUCUUAUAAACUUAAAUUACUUAUAUUGUAUCCUCCAUGCAACGCUAUUUCAAGAGGGAACAAUCUUGAGUCUACCAUUAUAAUGAUCUUAAUUGUCUUCUUAGUCUUGUCAUGAAAAUUAUUUGCACAGAAGACUAUAAAAUGAAAACAAAGCAUUUCGUAUAUUUUAGAUAUAGAGUUAACGUUAUUAUUUAUUUUUUUCGAUCUUGUGAUCUUGGUUGAGGUCAGUGCUCUUCAUUUAACUUUUUGUUAAAACGUGGACAGAAUUUUUCCUCCAUAUUGCCCGAAUAGAAGCUGAUGAUGACUCCGGUAAUGAAGCGUAUCAUGUUUUAGAUCUCUCAUCGGCUUCACCCAUCAGAGUAUGUAGUUCUAGUAGUCUCUUAAUCCUUUUUAUGAGCUUUUUUUAUAUAAAGAAGUGCAGACCCAUUUAUAAUACUUCUUCUAACACUCCUUGAGCUACAAUUGCAAUCUGUAAGAAGUUUUGAUGUUUUCCCGUAA
Macrobrachium nipponense is the source of this 4333-nucleotide long non-coding RNA. RefSeq lists it as uncharacterized. The record is from RefSeq and is a predicted model, not a curated record. The transcript is spliced from 3 exons. Lineage: Eukaryota; Metazoa; Arthropoda; Malacostraca; Decapoda; Palaemonidae.